Molecule: ribosomal RNA, 1241 nt
Filed under: metagenome
Description: bacterial LSU rRNA
Rfam family: Bacterial large subunit ribosomal RNA
Source: RNAcentral
UGAAUACGAGAUGCUACGGCAUUGAAGCAGUGUAUGUCAGACUUCCAAGAAAAGCUCGCAAUGUCAUAAACAAAGAAUGCCUGUACCAUAACCGACACAGGUGGGUAGGUAGAGUAUACUAAGGGGCGCGAGAUAACUCUCUCUAAGGAACUCGGCAAAAUGACUCCGUAACUUCGGGAGAAGGAGUGCCUUAUUUAUUAAGGUUGCAAUAACAAGAUCCAAGCAACUGUUUACCAAAAACACAGGUCUCCGCUAAGUCGUAAGACGAUGUAUGGGGGCUGACGCCUGCCCAGUGCCAGAAGGUUAAAGAAGUUGGUUAGCAUUGCGAAGCUGAUGACUGAAGCCCUGGUGAACGGCGGCCGUAACGAUAACGGUCCUAAGGUAGCGAAAUUCCUUGUCGGGUAAGUUCCGACCCGCACGAAAGGCGUAAUGAUUUGGAUACUGUCUCGGAGAGGGGCUCGGUGAAAUAGACUUGUCUGCGAAGAUGCGGACUACCUGCACCAGGACAGAAAGACCCUAUGAAGCUUUACUGUAACUUGAGAUUGAAAUUGGACUUUAUUUGCGCAGUAUAGGUGGGAGACGUUGAGAAUAUUCUUGCGGGAAUAUUGGAGUCAUCAGUGAGAUACCACUCUUGUAAUGUUAGAUUUCUAACUUUGUAUCAUUAUCUGGUCAAAGAACAGUCUCAGGCGGGCAGUUUGACUGGGGCGGUCGCCUCCCAAACGGUAACGGAGGCGCACAAAGGUUUCCUCUGAACGUGUAGAAAUCGUAUCUAGAGUGUAAAGGCAUAAGGAAGCUUGACUGUGAGACCUACAAGUCGAGCAGGGACGAAAGUCGGUCUUAGUGAUCUGACGGUGCUGAGUGGAAAGGCCGUCACUCAACGGAUAAAAGUUACUCUAGGAUAACAGGCUGAUCUCCCCCAAGAGUUCACAUCGACGGGGAGGUUUGGCACCUCGAUGUCGGCUCAUCGCAUCCUGGGGCGGUAGUACGUCCCAAGGGUUGGGCUGUUCGCCCAUGAAAGCGGUACGCGAGCUGGGUUCAGAACGUCGUGAGACAGUUCGGUCCAUAUCCGGUGUAGGCGUUAGAAUAUUGAGAGGAGACUACUUUAGUACGAGAGGACCGAGAAGGACAUACCUCUGGUGUACCAGUUAUCGUGCCAACGGUAAACGCUGGGUAGCUAUGUAUGGAGAGGAUAACCGCUGAAAGCAUCUAAGUGGGAAGCCCACCUCAAGAUAAGUAUUCUC